This 414-nucleotide ribosomal RNA is filed under the name uncultured microorganism. RNAcentral's name for it is "bacterial SSU rRNA". It matches the Rfam family "Archaeal small subunit ribosomal RNA", at positions 459 to 872 of the family's 1478-position model. The record is from RNAcentral.
CAGCAGCCGCGGUAAUACCGGCGGCCCGAGUGGCGGCCACUUUUAUUGGGCCUAAAGCGUCCGUAGCCGGGUUGGGAAGUCCUCCGGGAAAUCUGGCCGCUUAACGGUCAGAAUGCCGGAGGAUACUCCCAGCCUAGGGAGCGGGAGAGGCCGAGGGUAUUCCCGGAGUAGGGGUGAAAUCCUAUAAUCCCGGGAGGACCACCUGUGGCGAAGGCGCUCGGCUGGAACGCGUCCGACGGUGAGGGACGAAGGCCAGGGGAGCAAACCGGAUUAGAUACCCGGGUAGUCCUGGCUGUAAACGAUGCGGACUUUGUGUCGGACAAGCUAUGAGCUUGUCCGGUGCCGGAGGGAAACCGUUAAGUCCGCCGCCUGGGGAGUACGGCCGCAAGGCUGAAACUUAAAGGAAUUGGCGGG